GUAGUCCUGGCCGUAAACGAUGUCGACUAGUUGUUGGACGGGAUACUGUUCAGUAACGUAGCUAACGCGUGAAGUCGACCGCCUGGGGAGUACGGCCGCAAGGUUAAAACUCAAAGGAAUUGACGGGGACCCGCACAAGCGGUGGAUGAUGUGGUUUAAUUCGAUGCAACGCGAAAAACCUUACCUACCCUUGACAUGCCAGGAACUUACCAGAGAUGGUUUGGUGCUCGAAAGAGAGCCUGGACACAGGUGCUGCAUGGCUGUCGUCAGCUCGUGUCGUGAGAUGUUGGGUUAAGUCCCGCAACGAGCGCAACCCUUGUCAUUAGUUGCUACGCAAGAGCACUCUAAUGAGACCGCCGGUGACAAACCGGAGGAAGGUGGGGAUGACGUCAAGUCCUCAUGGCCCUUAUGGGUAGGGCUACACACGUCAUACAAUGGGCGGUACAGAGGGUUGCCAACCCGCGAGGGGGAGCUAAUCCCUUAAAACCGCUCGUAGUCCGGAUUGUAGUCUGCAACUCGACUGCAUGAAGUCGGAAUCGCUAGUAAUCGCGGAUCAGCUUGCCGCGGUGAAUACGUUCCCGGGUCUUGUACACACCGCCCGUCACACCAUGGAAGUGGGGUUUACCAGAAGUAGUUAGCUUAACCGCAAGGGGGGCGAUUACCACGGUAGGCUUCAUGACUGGGGUGAAGUCGUAACAAGGUAGCCGUAUCGGAAGGUGCGGCUGGAUCACCUCC
This 735-nucleotide ribosomal RNA is filed under the name uncultured bacterium. RNAcentral's name for it is "bacterial SSU rRNA". It matches the Rfam family "Bacterial small subunit ribosomal RNA", at positions 790 to 1530 of the family's 1533-position model. The record is from RNAcentral.